UACGGAGGGGGCUAGCGUUGUUCGGAAUUACUGGGCGUAAAGCGCGCGUAGGCGGAUCUGCAAGUCGGGGGUGAAAUCCCGAGGCUCAACCUCGGAACUGCCUUCGAUACUGCGGGUCUCGAGUCCGGGAGAGGUGAGUGGAAUUCCUAGUGUAGAGGUGAAAUUCGUAGAUAUCAGGAGGAACACCAAUAGCGAAGGCAGCUCGCUGGGACGGUACUGACGCUAAGGCGCGAAAGCGUGGGGAGCGAACAGG
This 253-nucleotide ribosomal RNA is filed under the name uncultured bacterium. RNAcentral describes it as "partial 16S ribosomal RNA". It matches the Rfam family "Bacterial small subunit ribosomal RNA", at positions 524 to 776 of the family's 1533-position model. The record is from RNAcentral.